This is an RNA transcript of Mauremys reevesii (Reeves's turtle), 3716 nucleotides long. It is a transcript of the gene named F-box and leucine rich repeat protein 7, with no coding region annotated. The record is from RefSeq and is a predicted model, not a curated record. The transcript has 7 exons. NCBI's taxonomy places the organism in Eukaryota, Metazoa, Chordata, Testudines, Geoemydidae.
CCGGCCUGCCCUGGCCCAGCCCUCUCGGCCCGGGGAGCGACUGAUGCGGGGAGGAGGCGCCUGGCGCGAACAAAACUCUGCGGCGCUGGAGCGGGGCCGAGCAACAAGUGGCGGCCGCGCGGGCGGGCGGGAAGGGGGAGCCCGGCAGCGCCCCAGCGAGCUGCGCAAGGCGCAUCGGUCCCUGCCGGCGGGAGCGGGUGCAGGCUGCGCCCCGGGAUUGCUGCUGAGCCGUGUGUGGAUUACAACUGGAGCUGCUGCCCAGCCCUGGUGCCCGCGGCGGGGGCCUGAGGGGCAAGUGCACUGGGGACUUUCCCCUCCCGCCCCCCGUUGGGGUGGCUGCUUGGGGCGGGGCUGGCUCUGCCUGAAGGACCCGAGUGCCUGCAGCAUGUAAAAGCCGAAGCUCCGCACCAGCGGGGUCCCCGCCCCGCCGCCUCCGUUCCGCGCCGGGGAGCCAUGGUGUGCGCGGGCAGCGGGGGAGCAUGAAGCCUGCAGGAUGGGCGCGAACAAUGGCAAACAGUACGGCAGUGAGGGCAAAGGCAGCUCAAGCAUCUCAUCCGACGUGAGUUCAAGUACAGAUCACACACCAACCAAAGCCCAGAAGAAUGCGGCUACCAGUGAAGAUUCCGACCUGAGCAUGCGGACACUCAGCACACCCAGCCCAGCGCUAAUAUGUCCGCAGAAUUCUCACAGCUUCCAAAAUGGCCGAGGAUCUUCCACUUCUUCAUCCUCAGUCACCGGGGAGACAGUUGCUAUGGUCCAUUCACCUCCUCCAACCCGCCUUACUCAUCCUCUCAUCCGGCUGGCAUCCAGACAGCAGAAAGAACAGGCCAACAUAGACCGUCUCCCAGACCACUCCAUGAUCCAAAUUUUCUCUUUCCUGCCUACCAACCAGUUGUGCCGUUGUGCACGAGUGUGUCGCCGCUGGUAUAACCUUGCCUGGGACCCACGGCUUUGGAGGACUAUUCGCCUGACAGGCGAAACAAUCAACGUAGACAGGGCUCUUAAAGUGCUGACCCGGAGGCUUUGUCAGGACACGCCAAAUGUAUGUCUCAUGUUGGAGACGGUAAUUGUUAGUGGCUGCAGGCGGCUCACAGACAGAGGACUCUACACCAUUGCCCAGUGCUGUCCAGAGCUGAGGAGGCUAGAGGUGUCGGGCUGUUACAACAUCUCCAAUGAAGCAGUCUUUGAUGUGGUGUCGCUGUGUCCAAACCUUGAGCACCUGGAUGUGUCAGGCUGUUCCAAAGUGACAUGCAUUAGUUUGACCCGCGAAGCCUCCAUCAAGCUGUCCCCAUUACAUGGCAAACAGAUCUCUAUCCGCUACCUGGACAUGACAGACUGUUUUGUGCUUGAGGACGAAGGCCUGCACACCAUCGCCGCACACUGCACUCAGCUGACUCAUCUGUACCUGCGCCGCUGCGUCCGCAUCACCGAUGAAGGCCUCCGUUACCUAAUGAUUUACUGCACAUCCAUCAAGGAGCUGAGCGUGAGCGACUGCCGCUUCGUCAGCGACUUCGGCAUGCGGGAGAUCGCCAAGUUGGAGUCGCGCCUGCGGUACCUCAGCAUCGCACACUGCGGUCGCAUCACAGACGUGGGCAUCCGUUACAUUGCCAAAUACUGCAGCAAGCUGCGCUACCUCAAUGCGCGGGGCUGCGAGGGAAUCACGGACCAUGGCGUGGAGUACCUCGCCAAAAAUUGCACAAAACUCAAAUCAUUGGAUAUUGGCAAGUGCCCGCUGGUCUCAGACACCGGCCUGGAGUUUCUGGCCCUGAACUGCUUCAACUUGAAGCGCCUGAGCCUGAAGUCAUGUGAGAGCAUCACAGGCCAGGGCCUACAGAUCGUAGCUGCGAACUGCUUUGACCUGCAGAUGCUGAACGUGCAGGACUGUGAGGUUUCCGUGGACGCUCUACGUUUUGUUAAACGCCAUUGCAAGCGCUGUAUUAUUGAGCACACCAACCCCGCUUUUUUCUGAAAGGACACUCUGCACCUGUUGAUUAAAAACAUUGAUGUAUAAACACAUGCUCCCACAUACAGUACCUAGAUUUUCUCUGUAUGGCUCGUGGGAGUCAGCUUUCUUGUAUGGUGCUAGUGAGGUUUGUUUUUUAAAAAGAAUAUUUUUUGUUUUAAACUAUCACUUUUUUAUUUGAUUGGGUCUCUGUGGAGAUGCUUCCUUAACCUAAAAGCAGUGAGUACUCCACAGCACCAUGGCAGUGCUAUACCCCUGGUAGCCCUGACGCUUUCCUAGCCUGAACUAGCUCUCCAAAGGGAAUAGCACAUAAUCACUCCCUUUGAGGUGCAACUUGAGCAGCAUUAAAUCUGAGCUCCAGCUGUGCUCAAGAAGCUGCAGAGGCACUAUUUGUCUCGAAACCCACCCCCCAAAUUCCUCCAACAUGGCUGAUGCAACACCACCUUGUCUAAGUAGCAUCUUCUCGGAAGUCCCAUAACCAUGUUCCUUUCAACUGAAGAAAUGGCCGCUGUUGAGCAAAGAAUUGCAGUAUCAGUACUGCCUCAUAUGGUUGAAGACUGUUAGUCUAACAGGUGUUACUGUUAUAGCUGCUCUCUCUUGCCAAUGCAAUCAAUUUUGAGGCUUACCCCUAUUCAUUGUCCCCUUCUUUCCCUGAGCAUGUGAUCAUUUCAUGAUUAGUUGCCAGAAGACUGUAAUGGAAGUUCUUCCCCACUUAUUUCUGGCAAGUCCCAUCCAGUCCUUAGAUCUGAAAGCCAGACUCAUUAGAAGUGAUGAUAUUUUCAGGCAGGCCCCCUGCACAUGAUUGACAACUGAUUCAUAUGUUAGGCUCAAUCACUGUAAAUGUCUCUGCUAGAGAGAUGUGGGGAGGAAAACGCUCUGUCUGGUUUUCAUAGAACAGUAGCUGCAUCGUCUCCAGACAACAUUAAUAAUGUCACUGAGAUGAAAUGAAAAUCCAUGUGUUUUAAGAACAUACAUAAUCACUAAGGAAAUAAUCUGUAGCCACACUCACACAAUGUUUAAAGGCAAAGCUGGCAGGAUGUGUCCUACUUGUGAGAAAAGAUCUUUAGCCUGUGCAUAUUGCUUCUCCGUUUGUCAGUUUGUGUAUUUUUUCACUUGCAAGAUAUUGUGGUUUCAUGGGCAAACUCAUUAAGCAUCCUUCAGUUCCCUCUGAAUUAAAUAAUACUGUCCAAAAGAGACGAGGGGUCGGAGCCAAAAUGAUUGCGGGGAAAAGCUCUUACAGCUGCUCAUUACCACUCUGUCACUAAUCGGUGUAUGUUAGGGAGUGGUGCCAUUUUAUGUCAAUUAACAUCAGUUUAGCUUCCUUUUUUUACAAAGCUGAUUUCUCAGGAGGUUGCACAGUGGAUUUUAUCCCAGCUAGCUAUUCUCUUCACCGUCCUCAAGGAGAGUGAAGCUGUUGAAUCCAUUCUCAAGCACCUAGGAGCUUCAAACAGAAUCACACAACACUCAGCAGUGUGGAAACAUAUAGAGAAAUACAGAUCUGUCUUGACGUGAACAAAUUGUGCCCCAGGCAGCUUGAUACCCUGUGAGCAUAGCAAUGUGCACGCCUUCCAUCCUCUCCACUCCACAGAAAUAGAUGCAUGAUGGGCCAUAGUCAGUUAGACAGUGGCUGUGCUGCUGAAGGCGUCUAUAGGCACCCUAAUGUGAAAGCCUUCGGAGAGUUAUUUUCAUGCUGCUGACAGAUUUUGUGGUAUUCUGCCUGCCUGGACACGGAUGUUGCAUAUGAUUAAUGACU